CACCAGAAGAUAUUUUCUCUUAAUGCAACUUGCUAGUUUGUGUGCCAAGCUCUCGUUUCAAUUAAAAAGAGCAACUGUCAGACUACAGUACAGUCUCUAAUAUAAUCCUGCCUACUCUAGGUAUGAUAUAUGCAAAUGUAAAUCCCCAGUAUACCAGAAAUCAAGUAGUUCUGCAGAGCUUUAUACAAAAAACGUGCGCUCAUUCCUCAUCCGCCACUCGUACUAAAACUAAACAAAAGAGCAAUGCAAUCAUACAAUUUCCAAAAGCAUGUCAUCUCUUUUACCCUGGCUGAAGAUUGAACUGAUCAUUACCAUAAAAUACUGUUGAUAAUGGGUAGUCAAGUUUAUGAGAUCAAACUAAUUACUCCAAAGAUUUCCAUUUGUUUAAUCAAACUCCUCUUCAUCGUCAGUGCCACCACCAAACAUGGCAGACAUUUUCAUCGCGUCCGCCAGCCAUUUCUCUCCUUUGGAAAUCAGGCAUAAACCUCAUGUUGUCACGCAUAUUUCCAAUCUCAGACAUCAACUGCUCUAAAUCCUCGAAGUCAAAAGGUGUAACCUCAUUUGUUUCUGUGUCUUUGUUAGGAUCUACUACUUUGGACACCACUUCCUUGUCAUCCUGCAAUGCUA
RNAcentral lists this unclassified non-coding RNA (627 nucleotides) under Hevea brasiliensis (rubber tree). Lineage: Eukaryota; Viridiplantae; Streptophyta; Magnoliopsida; Malpighiales; Euphorbiaceae. The record is from RNAcentral.